Molecule: long non-coding RNA, 508 nt
Organism: Hyla sarda
Lineage: Eukaryota; Metazoa; Chordata; Amphibia; Anura; Hylidae
Exons: 4
Source: RefSeq, a predicted model, not a curated record
UAGGCGCGGGCUGUAUAGUUUUAUUGCCUCCAAGCAAGAUACCAGGGAAGACAGAUGCCAGGUGGAACUCCACAGCAGCCAAGAGCACAUUCUCCGGCCGCUGCGAUGAUCUGCCUCGGCCCAUAAUGGGCUGAGCGCCAUGUGACACUGUUCACACGGAAGUAUGAAGAAGAUGGACCGGAGGGACCGAUCAGCUGUAGUGGCGCUCCGCGGGAACCCAGGAAGUGUUGCGAUUUCACCGCGAUUGUCCCGAUCAGCCCGGCUGAGCUGCUGGAACAAGUAGACAUGGCCUAAAUAGCAUCCCAUGUGUGCAGCAGACUACAACUCCCAUCCUGCAUUGUGACCUCUUGUGGCUGUCCUCCUUCCUCUGUAUUAUCCCGACUACUAAAGAGCAACUCUCCACAGAGCAAGCCAGCGCAGACUUCCCCCUGCUCCCUCUCCCGAUUGGCAGAAGUCUGGACACUCAGAUAUCCGGCAAUCAAAACAUAGCUGGGACAUCUGAAAGGUU